UAAUGUCUGGGAAACUGCCUGAUGGAGGGGGAUAACUACUGGAAACAGUAGCUAAUACCGCAUAACGUCGCAAGACCAAAGUGGGGGACCUUCGGGCCUCAUGCCAUCAGAUGUGCCCAGAUGGGAUUAGCUAGUAGGUGGGGUAACGGCUCACCUAGGCGACGAUCCCUAGCUGGUCUGAGAGGAUGACCAGCCACACUGGAACUGAGACACGGUCCAG
This 220-nucleotide ribosomal RNA is filed under the name uncultured bacterium. RNAcentral describes it as "partial 16S ribosomal RNA". It matches the Rfam family "Bacterial small subunit ribosomal RNA", at positions 111 to 334 of the family's 1533-position model. The record is from RNAcentral.